RNAcentral lists this ribosomal RNA (397 nucleotides) under uncultured bacterium. RNAcentral describes it as "bacterial SSU rRNA". It matches the Rfam family "Bacterial small subunit ribosomal RNA", at positions 975 to 1374 of the family's 1533-position model. The record is from RNAcentral.
CUGGGCUUAAAUGUAGAGCGACAGAUUGUGAAAGCAGUCCUUCUUCGGACGAUCUACAAGGUGCUGCAUGGUUGUCGUCAGCUCGUGCCGUGAGGUGUCGGGUUAAGUCCCAUAACGAGCGCAACCCUUAUCGUUAGUUGCCAGCGGGUCAUGCCGGGGACUCUAGCGAGACUGCCACCGUAAGGUGUGAGGAAGGUGGGGAUGACGUCAAAUCAGCACGGCCCUUAUGUCCAGGGCUACACACGUGUUACAAUGGCAAAUACAAAGGGCAGCUACCGGGUGACCGGAUGCUAAUCUCCAAAGUUGGUCUCAGUUCGGAUCGAAGUCUGCAACCCGACUUCGUGAAGCUGGAUUCGCUAGUAAUCGCAUAUCAGCCAUGAUGCGGUGAAUACGUUCC